GUCACCUGCAAAUACAUUAACAUCAGAUACAAAGCACAAAUAAAUAAUCUUAAUAUAAAUAAGUUCUUCCAUGAUUUCAUAGGAGGGCAGAAGAUAUGAAUAUAUACCUUUUGAACAGCAUGAUCAAAGUCUUCCAGUGAACCAUAUUCUCUCUCAAAUUGCAGCCAUGAAUGGCAGAUAUCCUGAAUGAAGUUGCUUUUUAGGAUUAACAGUACCAUACAAUCCAAUAUAUCACAUCUACAUAACUAGAACAUAACAAGAAGUGAUUCGUAAAACCAGCACAAUGGUAAGCUACUACCACAACUAUAAUUAAAUUGGAAAGUGUUAGCACAUGUUGAUACAGCUCUUGGACACUCUGGCUCAAAAUAGAGGAUGCAGGCCAAAUGACUGAAUUUUGCCACUCAGUACUUCUGAUCACGGGGUUAAGAAGUUACUAAACACAUGAGUUACUACUCGUUGAAGUUCAAGAAGGCUUUUAGCUGUCCGGAUGAUUGUUUUCUGCAGUCACAAAGUCAUGAAUUGUGUUGGUUCUGAAAAAAGGUCGGCGUUUGAACUUCCUUACUUUGAUAUGAGACUCGUAAUCCGACGGAUUGGCGUUCAGGGAUUUCUCGAGUGCGUCAAUCUGCUCAAUUACUUGGG
This is a long non-coding RNA of Andrographis paniculata, 639 nucleotides long. RefSeq lists it as uncharacterized. NCBI's taxonomy places the organism in Eukaryota, Viridiplantae, Streptophyta, Magnoliopsida, Lamiales, Acanthaceae. The record is from RefSeq and is a predicted model, not a curated record. The transcript has 3 exons.